Molecule: ribosomal RNA, 542 nt
Filed under: Colletotrichum siamense
Lineage: Eukaryota; Fungi; Ascomycota; Sordariomycetes; Glomerellales; Glomerellaceae
Description: eukaryotic LSU rRNA
Rfam family: 5.8S ribosomal RNA (bases 187-340)
Source: RNAcentral
CGGAGGGAUCAUUACUGAGUUUACGCUCUACAACCCUUUGUGAACAUACCUAUAACUGUUGCUUCGGCGGGUAGGGUCUCCGCGACCCUCCCGGCCUCCCGCCUCCGGGCGGGUCGGCGCCCGCCGGAGGAUAACCAAACUCUGAUUUAACGACGUUUCUUCUGAGUGGUACAAGCAAAUAAUCAAAACUUUUAACAACGGAUCUCUUGGUUCUGGCAUCGAUGAAGAACGCAGCGAAAUGCGAUAAGUAAUGUGAAUUGCAGAAUUCAGUGAAUCAUCGAAUCUUUGAACGCACAUUGCGCCCGCCAGCAUUCUGGCGGGCAUGCCUGUUCGAGCGUCAUUUCAACCCUCAAGCUCUGCUUGGUGUUGGGGCCCUACAGCUGAUGUAGGCCCUCAAAGGUAGUGGCGGACCCUCUCGGAGCCUCCUUUGCGUAGUAACUUUACGUCUCGCACUGGGAUCCGGAGGGACUCUUGCCGUAAAACCCCCAAUUUUCCAAAGGUUGACCUCGGAUCAGGUAGGAAUACCCGCUGAACUUAAGCAA